UUAUAAAUGUAAAUAUACCAGAUAUAAAUAAUUGAGUGUAGCUGACAAUAUGAUCUUUCAAGCAAUCCAACGAUCCUCAAAAAACAGAUUAUCACGUGUACAAAAAGGGAUCAAUCAUUCCUAAUAUCCAGGUAACUGACGGCUUUUUUCCAUACGCUGAUUUAUGGCCCAUUUAUGGUAGCGAGUCGAUCACGUGUUAUUGAUAAGAAAAAUUAAUCGCAAAAGAUGCAGGAAAAAGUGACUCUUUAUGAGGAGCGUGGACGCUGCUGAAUGAUGAGAUUCAACAAAGAAGAAUCAGUAUCAAUGAAACUGUCAGAAACAAUAUGUCAAGUGAUACCACGGACGCUAUAUCUAUAUACACAACCACGUGUGCCACGUAAAACGGGAGAAAAUCAAGUAUCAAGGAAUCCCAAGUCUUAAGCCAGUUUUAUACGGGUUUCACGCAGGCAACGUGCUUAACCAUUUACAUAGGAGAGAUGAGCAAGAUAUCAGAUGAACUGGAGCGAGGCGUGGCGCCGUUCCUAUACUAGUUUUACUCACUUUACUUGCUUUGCUCGCUUUGCUCGCUCCCAUCUUCUCCAGAGUGAGUAUAAACUCUCGGGAGUUCUUGUCAGCGAGCGAGUGGGUGUGGGGAACCUUGAGAAACUAGCAAGGAGGAGUACGCGACCUUGCAAGGCCAGACAGGUGCAGUUUCUUCAGAGCAAUAACGAUCAAUUUCAAGUACGACUUCUAUACAUGUAUAUAUUACAUAUAUUGAAGAUAUCAUACGUUCCAGCAUUUGCCAAGUAAACAGAUUGAGACGCAUUGAGAUACACUGAGAAGACCUUUCGUCUUGGUGCUACUGAAUUUCAAUCAUUCAUUUUUAUACCAUUGAUCUUUUAUGCUCUUGAUAAAUAUGAUCCUCGCUACUGCGCGUGGCUUAUGUAGUUACAAAAUCAACAGGUGUUUCAUUCAUAAGAUUUUGAUCUCAAUGAUCUUUCAUUUGUUCGUGUAGACUGUGAUGAUUGCAUCUAUCUAUCUAUCUCUGUCUGCCUUAUGGAUUAUAUUCACUUAUGUCCAUAAAGAAACAAGAUCAAAAGAUAUCCCCCACUUUGGUCGAGAAGAUUCCAUCCAGCCAUUCAUGUCUGGAAUCUCGUUGACCUUUGACAGAUUUAAUUAAGCUGACGUGCGCCGAUUAGCUGGCAAUUUAAAUGAAAUUAAUAUUGUGGAACCCCGGAAUCAUGAUCCUUUGGGAUAUCAGUUGGAGUCUUUUAAUUCCAAUUUUACUUGGAAACAAGAAUAUCUACACUAAUGAGGGUAAUUAGAUAUUCGGAUCUUAGACGAUAUACUUUUCGACAUAGAUAUGUGGAUAUUAUUUUAAUUUCUUUUUUUUUUUGCUUUUUCUAACUCUUCGACACGAAAACGACACGAUGCUUGUUAAUUGUGGGGGAUUGCAGGAAAUCAUAAGUGUAAAAAUUAACGAAUUUACAGUUAUCGUUAUUUUCAAAUUUUUUUUUUUCUAACUAAUUCUAAUAUAGGACGGAGCAUACGAGCUAUCAUAAAACAUGCUCAUUAACGUUUCACGUAUAAAACGGGAUAAUAUUUUCUUUAAGUUUUUACAUGUUUCGCCCAUUAGAAAUGUUUUAUGAGCCUUAGAUUUUUGGGAAGGAUCCUUAAUCGUUAAUACCGACCCGUUAACUUAACAGGCUUGCAAAGUACACGAUGAAACAUUUAUAUGCGCGAUAAGAAACACAAGUGUCAAUAAUGGUGAAAGCUAU
Molecule: long non-coding RNA, 1757 nt
Organism: Cephus cinctus (wheat stem sawfly)
Lineage: Eukaryota; Metazoa; Arthropoda; Insecta; Hymenoptera; Cephidae
Exons: 4
Source: RefSeq, a predicted model, not a curated record